This 468-nucleotide ribosomal RNA is filed under the name uncultured bacterium. Its description in RNAcentral is "partial 16S ribosomal RNA". It matches the Rfam family "Bacterial small subunit ribosomal RNA", at positions 28 to 507 of the family's 1533-position model. The record is from RNAcentral.
GACGAACGCUGGCGGCGUGCUUAACACAUGCAAGUCGAACGGAAAGGCCCUGCUUUUGUGGGGUGCUCGAGUGGCGAACGGGUGAGUAACGCGUGAGUAACCUGCCCUUGACUUUGGGAUAACUUCAGGAAACUGGGGCUAAUACCGGAUAGGAGCUCCUGCUGCAUGGUGGGGGUUGGAAAGUUUCGGCGGUUGGGGCUGGACUCGCGGCUUAUCAGCUUGUUGGUGGGGUAGUGGCUUACCAAGGCUUUGACGGGUAGCCGGCCUGAGAGGGUGACCGGCCACAUUGGGACUGAGAGACGGCCCAGAGUGCGACGGGAGGCAGCAGUGGGGAAUAUUGCACAAUGGGCGGAAGCCUGAUGCAGCAACGCCGCGUGCGGGAUGACGGCCUUCGGGUUGUAGACCGCUUUCGCCUGUGACGAAGCGUGAGUGACGGUAAUGGGUAAAGAAGCACCGGCUAACUACGUG